CCUCAAACUCCUUGAAUCUUAGAUCUAAGAAAUUUUCUCGUCAUUUUUUUGCCCAAAUUCUUGAAGCUCCAACCACGACCACCCCACAAUACUUACAUCAAUGGAUAGAGCCCCUAAAGACCUAACUAUUGAUGCCAAUUUCACCCUGAAAAUCCGGCGAUCAAAAUACGGCCAAAUUCCGGCGACCUCCCCGAACACCCUCUUUUGGCAUACCACCAUUUUUUCGGCCACUUGAAUUAUAAAAUGAUAUUUUCACAUUAACAAGAGAACUCAUCUUGAUUGCUCGGAGCAUGUCCAUUUAAAUAAAUGAGUGCUUAGCUAAAUUUCUUUAUUGUUUAAAUAUAUCUUGUUGUAGUUCAUAUGUAAAAUAAAUCCUUGGUUGAUCAAACACUCUUUAUUCA
Nicotiana tabacum (common tobacco) is the source of this 401-nucleotide non-coding RNA. The record is from RefSeq and is a predicted model, not a curated record. NCBI's taxonomy places the organism in Eukaryota, Viridiplantae, Streptophyta, Magnoliopsida, Solanales, Solanaceae.